AUUGAACGCUGGCGGCAUGCCUUACACAUGCAAGUCGAACGGUAACGCGGGGGCAACCCUGGCGACGAGUGGCGAACGGGUGAGUAAUACAUCGGAACGUACCCAGUAGUGGGGGAUAGCUCGGCGAAAGCCGGAUUAAUACCGCAUACGACCUAUGGGUGAAAGCGGGGGAGUCGCAAGACCUCGCGCUAUUGGAGCGGCCGAUGUCGGAUUAGCUAGUUGGUGAGGUAAGGCCACCAAGGCUACGAUCCGUAGCUGGUCUGAGAGGACGACCAGCCACACUGGGACUGAGACACGGCCCAGGACUCCUACGGGAGGCAGCAGUGGGAAUUUUGACAAUGGGCAAAGCCUGAUCCAGCCAUGCCG
This 366-nucleotide ribosomal RNA is filed under the name uncultured bacterium. RNAcentral describes it as "bacterial SSU rRNA". It matches the Rfam family "Bacterial small subunit ribosomal RNA", at positions 29 to 399 of the family's 1533-position model. The record is from RNAcentral.